CUCUCUCUCUCUCUCUCAAAAUAAAUAAAUAAACAUUAAAAAAAGAAUCAAAUAGAGUCUUUUAUCCCUCAUCCAGCUAGAGAAGUCCUCUCAUAUCUUUGCUUAGUAUGGAAUCAGGACAAUUUAAAUAAUUGUUACCCUGGAUGUGGUCUAAGGAUUACACAUAAGAAUCCUGUGUGCUUGUUUAAAAUAAAUACUCCUGGGCCUCUCCCUCUGUGGAAAAAAAAAAAAGCCUAUGAAUAUGAAUGUUUUAUAAA
Neofelis nebulosa (Clouded leopard) is the source of this 257-nucleotide long non-coding RNA. RefSeq lists it as uncharacterized. The record is from RefSeq and is a predicted model, not a curated record. The transcript has 2 exons. Lineage: Eukaryota; Metazoa; Chordata; Mammalia; Carnivora; Felidae.